This 430-nucleotide long non-coding RNA is filed under the name Vitis vinifera (wine grape). RNAcentral's name for it is "long non-coding RNA (VVIN_LNC003678)". The record is from RNAcentral. Lineage: Eukaryota; Viridiplantae; Streptophyta; Magnoliopsida; Vitales; Vitaceae.
AGCAAUCAAGAGAACUGCCCUGAAGAAGUCGAUUCACCAGCCUUCUUCUUUUUCUUCUUGUAUGGAAUCCCCCUUGCCUUAGACUGACACUCCCUCACCUCUCGAAGAUAAAUCCGGAUCGCGCCACUGGCAAAAGGAUUGGUCUCUGGUGAGCCACCAUUUUCCUCGUAAGCAGCUCGAAGCCUCCCAACCAGUGCAUCAAGGCUGCCCCAAGCCUGUCUCAGUGGGCAAGUGCAAGGAGCUGGCGGCUCGGGCUGUCCAAAAAACAUACAUCCUUGGAGGUGAACUUUAGUCUUUCCAAACUGAUCCAGAUAUCGAAGGAAGUCAAGCACAUGGUUGCAAUUGCACUGUGACAGUGGAACUGGGGGCCUCUGGUUCUUCAAGUACUGGCCAAAGGUGUUCCAGUCUCGCCGCUUCUGCGACUCAUAUC